RNAcentral lists this ribosomal RNA (253 nucleotides) under uncultured bacterium. Its description in RNAcentral is "partial 16S ribosomal RNA". It matches the Rfam family "Bacterial small subunit ribosomal RNA", at positions 524 to 776 of the family's 1533-position model. The record is from RNAcentral.
UACGAAGGUCCCAAGCGUUAUCCGGAUUUAUUGGGUUUAAAGGGUGCGUAGGCGGGUUAUUAAGUCAGUGGUGAAAGCCUACAGCUUAACUGUAGAACUGCCAUUGAUACUGAUGAUCUUGAGUAUGAUUGAGGUGGGCGGAAUGUGUCAUGUAGCGGUGAAAUGCUUAGAUAUGACACAGAACACCGAUUGCGAAGGCAGCUCGCUACACGAAUAUUGACUCUGAGGCACGAAAGCGUGGGGAUCAAACAGG